This 424-nucleotide ribosomal RNA is filed under the name uncultured bacterium. RNAcentral's name for it is "bacterial SSU rRNA". It matches the Rfam family "Bacterial small subunit ribosomal RNA", at positions 359 to 775 of the family's 1533-position model. The record is from RNAcentral.
GAAUAUUGGACAAUGGGCGCAAGCCUGAUCCAGCCAUGCCGCGUGAGUGAAGAAGGCCCUCGGGUUGUAAAGCUCUUUUGUCCGGAAAGAAAAGCGUUCGGUUAAUACCCGCGCGUCCUGACGGUACCCAAAGAAUAAGCACCGGCUAACUUCGUGCCAGCAGCCGCGGUAAUACGAAGGGUGCAAGCGUUACUCGGAAUUACUGGGCGUAAAGCGUGCGUAGGUGGUCUGUUAAGUCUGAUGUGAAAGCCCCGGGCUCAACCUGGGAAUGGCAUUGGAUACUGGCAGUCUAGAGUGCGGUAGAGGGGUGUGGAAUUCCCGGUGUAGCAGUGAAAUGCGUAGAUAUCGGGAGGAACAUCCGUGGCGAAGGCGACACCCUGGACCAGCACUGACACUGAGGCACGAAAGCGUGGGGAGCAAACAG